CUAAACAUGCAAGUCGAGCGGUAGAGAGAAGCUUGCUUCUCUUGAGAGCGGCGGACGGGUGAGUAAUGCCUAGGAAUCUGCCUGGUAGUGGGGGAUAACGUCCGGAAACGGACGCUAAUACCGCAUACGUCCUACGGGAGAAAGCAGGGGACCUUCGGGCCUUGCGCUAUCAGAUGAGCCUAGGUCGGAUUAGCUAGUUGGUGAGGUAAUGGCUCACCAAGGCGACGAUCCGUAACUGGUCUGAGAGGAUGAUCAGUCACACUGGAACUGAGACACGGUCCAGACUCCUACGGGAGGCAGCAGUGGGGAAUAUUGGACAAUGGGCGAAAGCCUGAUCCAGCCAUGCCGCGUGUGUGAAGAAGGUCUUCGGAUUGUAAAGCACUUUAAGUUGGGAGGAAGGGUUGUAGAUUAAUACUCUGCAAUUUUGACGUUACCGACAGAAUAAGCACCGGCUAACUCUGUGCCAGCAGCCGCGGUAAUACAGAGGGUGCAAGCGUUAAUCGGAAUUACUGGGCGUAAAGCGCGCGUAGGUGGUUUGUUAAGUUGGAUGUGAAAGCCCCGGGCUCAACCUGGGAACUGCAUUCAAAACUGACAAGCUAGAGUAUGGUAGAGGGUGGUGGAAUUUCCUGUGUAGCGGUGAAAUGCGUAGAUAUAGGAAGGAACACCAGUGGCGAAGGCGACCACCUGGACUGAUACUGACACUGAGGUGCGAAAGCGUGGGGAGCAAACAGGAUUAGAUACCCUGGUAGUCCACGCCGUAAA
RNAcentral lists this ribosomal RNA (762 nucleotides) under uncultured bacterium. RNAcentral describes it as "bacterial SSU rRNA". It matches the Rfam family "Bacterial small subunit ribosomal RNA", at positions 49 to 806 of the family's 1533-position model. The record is from RNAcentral.